AUUGAACGCUGGCGGCAUGCUUUACACAUGCAAGUCGAGCGGUAACAGGCCGCAAGGUGCUGACGAGUGGCGAACGGGUGAGUAAUGCAUCGGAACGUGCCCAGUCGUGGGGGAUAACUACUCGAAAGAGUAGCUAAUACCGCAUACGAUCUAUGGAUGAAAGCGGGGGACCGUAAGGCCUCGCGCGAUUGGAGCGGCCGAUGUCAGAUUAGGUAGUUGGUGGGGUAAAGGCCCACCAAGCCAACGAUCUGUAGCUGGUCUGAGAGGACAACCAGCCACACUGGGACUGAGACACGGCCCAGACUCCUACGGGAGGCAGCAGUGGGGAAUUUUGGACAAUGGGCGCAAGCCUGAUCCAGCAAUGCCGCGUGCAGGAAGAAGGCCUUCGGGUUGUAAACUGCUUUUGUACGGAACGAAACGGCUCUGGUUAAUACCCGGGGCUAAUGACGGUACCGUAAGAAUAAGCACCGGCUAACUACGUG
This 482-nucleotide ribosomal RNA is filed under the name uncultured bacterium. RNAcentral describes it as "partial 16S ribosomal RNA". It matches the Rfam family "Bacterial small subunit ribosomal RNA", at positions 30 to 507 of the family's 1533-position model. The record is from RNAcentral.